UGGGGAAUCUUGGACAAUGGGCGAAAGCCUGAUCCAGCCAUUCCGCGUGGAUGACGAAGGCCUUAGGGUUGUAAAAUCCUUUCAGCAGGGAAGAUAAUGACGGUACCUGCAGAAGAAGCCCCGGCUAACUCCGUGCCAGCAGCCGCGGUAAUACGGAGGGGGCUAGCGUUGUUCGGAAUUACUGGGCGUAAAGCGCGCGUAGGCGGAUCAGUCAGUCAGAGGUGAAAUCCCGGCGCUCAACGUCGGAACUGCCUUUGAUACUGCUGAUCUGGAGUUCAGGAGAGGUGUGUGGAAUUCCGAGUGUAGAGGUGAAAUUCGUAGAUAUUCGGAGGAACACCAGAGGCGAAGGCGACACACUGGCCUGAUACUGACGCUGAGGCGCGAAAGCGUGGGGAGCAAACAGGAUUAGAUACCCCCGUAGUCC
This 424-nucleotide ribosomal RNA is filed under the name uncultured prokaryote. Its description in RNAcentral is "bacterial SSU rRNA". It matches the Rfam family "Bacterial small subunit ribosomal RNA", at positions 355 to 796 of the family's 1533-position model. The record is from RNAcentral.